RNAcentral lists this long non-coding RNA (261 nucleotides) under Oryza brachyantha (malo sina). Its description in RNAcentral is "long non-coding RNA (OBRA_LNC002179)". The record is from RNAcentral. Lineage: Eukaryota; Viridiplantae; Streptophyta; Magnoliopsida; Poales; Poaceae.
AGGCCAAGAAGAGCAGCAGCAAGAAGGUCGCCGCAGCGGCCAGGGAAGAGGAGGAUGGCGAUGAGUAGGAUUUUGCUUGGUUUUUUUAGUUCAGUUUGAGUUCAGCUAAUUAAUUUGCAGCUUAAUGUUCUGCUGUUGUGGCAGUAAAUUUUAGAGUCUGCUUGGUUAAUUAAAAGUGCUGUGAUAAUCUCUUGUGUAUUAUUGAUAAAAUAAUAUUAUGUGUAUAUAUGUGUGUCUGGGUUUAUAUAUUGGUGCUACUUU